RNAcentral lists this ribosomal RNA (238 nucleotides) under uncultured bacterium. RNAcentral describes it as "partial 16S ribosomal RNA". It matches the Rfam family "Bacterial small subunit ribosomal RNA", at positions 15 to 224 of the family's 1533-position model. The record is from RNAcentral.
GAUCCUGGCUCAGGAUGAACGCUGGCGGCGUGCCUAAUACAUGCAAGUCGAACGAGUUCUCGUUGAUGAUCGGUGCUUGCACCGAGAUUCAACAUGGAACGAGUGGCGGACGGGUGAGUAACACGUGGGUAACCUGCCCUUAAGUGGGGGAUAACAUUUGGAAACAGAUGCUAAUACCGCAUAGAUCCAAGAACCGCAUGGUUCUUGGCUGAAAGAUGGCGUAAGCUAUCGCUUUUGG